This 266-nucleotide ribosomal RNA is filed under the name uncultured prokaryote. RNAcentral describes it as "partial 16S ribosomal RNA". It matches the Rfam family "Bacterial small subunit ribosomal RNA", at positions 524 to 788 of the family's 1533-position model. The record is from RNAcentral.
UACGUAUGGGGCAAGCGUUACUCGGAAUUACUGGGCGUAAAGGGUGCGUAGGUGGUUCGUUAAGUCUGAUGUGAAAGCCCUGGGCUCAACCUGGGAAUUGCAUUGGAUACUGGCGGGCUAGAGUGCGGUAGAGGGUAGUGGAAUUCCCGGUGUAGCAGUGAAAUGCGUAGAUAUCGGGAGGAACAUCCGUGGCUAAGGCGACUGCCUGGACCAGCACUGACACUGAGGCACGAAAGCGUGGGGAGCAAACAGGAUUAGAUACCCCU